GACGAACGCUGGCGGCGUGCUUAACACAUGCAAGUCGAACGGAAAGGCCUGCUUUUGUGGGGUGCUCGAGUGGCGAACGGGUGAGUAACACGUGAGUAACCUGCCCUUGACUUUGGGAUAACUUCAGGAAACUGGGGCUAAUACCGGAUAGGAGCUCCUGCUGCAUGGUGGGGGUUGGAAAGUUUCGGCGGUUGGGGAUGGACUCGCGGCUUAUCAGCUUGUUGGUGGGGUAGUGGCUUACCAAGGCUUUGACGGGUAGCCGGCCUGAGAGGGUGACCGGCCACAUUGGGACUGAGAUACGGCCCAGACUCCUACGGGAGGCAGCAGUGGGGAAUAUUGCACAAUGGGCGGAAGCCUGAUGCAGCAACGCCGCGUGCGGGAUGACGGCCUUCGGGUUGUAAACCGCUUUCGCCUGUGACGAAGCGUGAGUGACGGUAAUGGGUAAAGAAGCACCGGCUAACUACGUG
Molecule: ribosomal RNA, 467 nt
Filed under: uncultured bacterium
Lineage: Bacteria
Description: partial 16S ribosomal RNA
Rfam family: Bacterial small subunit ribosomal RNA
Source: RNAcentral